RNAcentral lists this ribosomal RNA (1342 nucleotides) under metagenome. RNAcentral describes it as "bacterial SSU rRNA". It matches the Rfam family "Bacterial small subunit ribosomal RNA", at positions 162 to 1498 of the family's 1533-position model. The record is from RNAcentral.
GCUAAUACCGCAUAUUCUGUGCGCAGGAAAGCAGGGGAUCGCAAGACCUUGCGCUGAUUGAGCGGCCGAUAUCAGAUUAGCUAGUUGGUGAGGUAAAAGCUCACCAAGGCGACGAUCUGUAGCGGGUCUGAGAGGAUGAUCCGCCACACUGGAACUGAGACACGGUCCAGACUCCUACGGGAGGCAGCAGUGGGGAAUUUUGGACAAUGGGGGCAACCCUGAUCCAGCCAUGCCGCGUGAGUGAAGAAGGCCUUCGGGUUGUAAAGCUCUUUCAGCCGGGAAGAAAAUGCAUGGGUUAAUACCCUGUGCAGAUGACGGUACCGGAAUAAGAAGCACCGGCUAACUACGUGCCAGCAGCCGCGGUAAUGCGUAGGGUGCGAGCGUUAAUCGGAAUUACUGGGCGUAAAGCGUGCGCAGGCGGUUUUGUAAGACAGGCGUGAAAUCCCCGGGCUUAACCUGGGAACUGCGUUUGUGACUGCAAGGCUAGAGUACGGCAGAGGGGGGUGGAAUUCCACGUGUAGCAGUGAAAUGCGUAGAGAUGUGGAGGAACACCAAUGGCGAAGGCAGCCCCCUGGGUCGAUACUGACGCUCAUGCACGAAAGCGUGGGUAGCAAACAGGAUUAGAUACCCUGGUAGUCCACGCCCUAAACGAUGUCAACUAGGUGUUGGGAGGGUAAAACCUUUUAGUACCGUAGCUAACGCGAGAAGUUGACCGCCUGGGGAGUACGGCCGCAAGGUUAAAACUCAAAGGAAUUGACGGGGACCCGCACAAGCGGUGGAUGAUGUGGAUUAAUUCGAUGCAACGCGAAAAACCUUACCUACCCUUGACAUGUCAGGAACUUUCCAGAGAUGGAUUGGUGCCCGAAAGGGAACCUGAACACAGGUGCUGCAUGGCUGUCGUCAGCUCGUGUCGUGAGAUGUUGGGUUAAGUCCCGCAACGAGCGCAACCCUUGUCGUUAAUUGCCAUCAUUUAGUUGGGCACUUUAACGAGACUGCCGGUGACAAACCGGAGGAAGGUGGGGAUGACGUCAAGUCCUCAUGGCCCUUAUGGGUAGGGCUUCACACGUCAUACAAUGGUCGGUACAAAGGGUCGCCAACCCGCGAGGGGGAGCCAAUCCCAUAAAGCCGAUCGUAGUCCGGGUUGUAGGCUGCAACUCGCCUGCAUGAAGUCGGAAUCGCUAGUAAUCGUGGAUCAGCAUGUCACGGUGAAUACGUUCCCGGGUCUUGUACACACCGCCCGUCACACCAUGGGAGCGGGUUCCGCCAGAAGUAGGUAGCCUAACCGCAAGGGGGGCGCUUACCACGGCGGGGUUCGUGACUGGGGUGAAGUCGAAACAAGGUA